UACGAAGGGGACUAGCGUUGUUCGGAAUUACUGGGCGUAAAGCGCACGUAGGCGGAUUUGUUAGUCAGGGGUGAAAUCCCGGGGCUCAACCUCGGAACUGCCUUUGAUACUGCAAGUCUUGAGUCCGGAAGAGGUGAGUGGAAUUCCUAGUGUAGAGGUGAAAUUCGUAGAUAUUAGGAAGAACACCAGUGGCGAAGGCGGCUCACUGGUCCGGUACUGACGCUGAGGUGCGAAAGCGUGGGGAGCAAACAGG
Molecule: ribosomal RNA, 253 nt
Filed under: uncultured bacterium
Lineage: Bacteria
Description: partial 16S ribosomal RNA
Rfam family: Bacterial small subunit ribosomal RNA
Source: RNAcentral